UAUGCCUCCAACUAAAACAUGACACACCAUUAGAGGACAAAUAUCCCAAAUACCAAAACAAAUAGACCAUAUGUGACCAAAAAAUAGAAUGUUCUUUCCCAAAGCUAUAGACAGAAAGAAUGUGAACCUUGACUGCAAAUAUAAUCAGGUUCCAUAGGUUAUCUCCUGUGUAACAUCCAAACACAAGAGACUAAGGACCUGACAAAAGUAGAUGUUGCAUAUCAAAUCAAACAAAGAUCGAAAUGAUAAGAGUAUUGAUUUUGUGUAGCUUAAUCGAGAUCGGAAGAGAAUUGUGCAGCAAAAGCUUCUAAUUCUGAGAAUUGUGCUAAUUCCAAUUUUAAUUUACCCGCUACUUGUUUCAUGGCUUUUAUUUGAGCCGCCAAUCCAACUCUGGAAUCGGAAAUACCCACAUUAAUUAAGGUCUGAUCCCAGCAUUGAAUAAAUCGCCAUAUAAGAAUAUUUGAUCAUCUGUAAUAGAAAUGACAUUAGUAGGAAUAUAAGCUGAAACAUCUCCGGAUUGGGUCUCAACUAUUGAUAAAGCAGUCAUACUUCCUUCACCUAACUGAGAACUUAGUAGAGAUGACCAAACUAGAGUGUAGCA
Lathyrus oleraceus (garden pea) is the source of this 601-nucleotide long non-coding RNA. RefSeq lists it as uncharacterized. The transcript has 3 exons. The record is from RefSeq and is a predicted model, not a curated record. NCBI's taxonomy places the organism in Eukaryota, Viridiplantae, Streptophyta, Magnoliopsida, Fabales, Fabaceae.